RNAcentral lists this transfer RNA (65 nucleotides) under Aulaconotus atronotatus. RNAcentral's name for it is "tRNA-Arg". The record is from RNAcentral. Lineage: Eukaryota; Metazoa; Arthropoda; Insecta; Coleoptera; Cerambycidae.
UAAUAAGAAGCAAAAUUUGCAUUUAGUUUCGACCUAAAAAUCUGAUGUUAACCCAUCCUUAUUUU